RNAcentral lists this ribosomal RNA (296 nucleotides) under uncultured Wolinella sp. Its description in RNAcentral is "partial 16S ribosomal RNA". It matches the Rfam family "Bacterial small subunit ribosomal RNA", at positions 29 to 334 of the family's 1533-position model. The record is from RNAcentral. Lineage: Bacteria; Pseudomonadati; Campylobacterota; Epsilonproteobacteria; Campylobacterales; Helicobacteraceae.
AGUGAACGCUGGCGGCGUGCCUAAUACAUGCAAGUCGAACGGUAACAGGGUGUAGCUUGCUACACUGCUGACGAGUGGCGCACGGGUGAGUAAUGCAUAGGUUAUGUGCCCCAUAGUCUGGAAUAGCCACUGGAAACGGUGAUUAAUACCGGAUAUUCCCGAGAGGGGAAAGUUUUUCGCUAUGGGAUCAGCCUAUGUCCUAUCAGCUUGUUGGUGAGGUAAUGGCUCACCAAGGCUAUGACGGGUAUCCGGCCUGAGAGGGUGAUCGGACACACUGGAACUGAGACACGGUCCAG